UACGUAGGGUGCAAGCGUUGUCCGGAAUUAUUGGGCGUAAAGAGCUUGUAGGCGGUUUGUCGCGUCUGCUGUGAAAUUUCGGGGCUCAACCCCGAACUUGCAGUGGGUACGGGCAGACUAGAGUGUGGUAGGGGAGACUGGAAUUCCUGGUGAGCGGUGAAAUGCGCAGAUAUCAGGAGGAACACCGAUGGCGAAGGCAGGUCUCUGGGCCACUACUGACGUGAGAAGCGAAAGCAUGGGGAGCGAACAGG
Molecule: ribosomal RNA, 251 nt
Filed under: uncultured bacterium
Lineage: Bacteria
Description: partial 16S ribosomal RNA
Rfam family: Bacterial small subunit ribosomal RNA
Source: RNAcentral